RNAcentral lists this ribosomal RNA (406 nucleotides) under uncultured bacterium. Its description in RNAcentral is "partial 16S ribosomal RNA". It matches the Rfam family "Bacterial small subunit ribosomal RNA", at positions 30 to 526 of the family's 1533-position model. The record is from RNAcentral.
AUUGAACGCUGGCGGCAGGCCUAACACAUGCAAGUCGAGCGGAGCGGCGGACGGGUGAGUAAUGCCUAGGAAUCUGCCUGGUAGUGGGGAUAACGUCCGGGAACGGGGCCCAAUAACGGAUACCAUCCGACGAGCCCUGGUCGGAUUAGCUAGUUGGUGGGGUAAAGGCCUACCAAGGCCACGAUCCGUAACUGGUCUGAGAGGAUGAUCAGUCACACUGGAACUGAGACACGGUCCAGACUCCUACGGGAGGCAGCAGUGGGGAAUAUUGGACAAUGGGCGAAAGCCUGAUCCAGCCAUGCCGCGUGUGUGAAGAAGGUCUUCGGAUUGUAAAGCACUUUAAGUUGGGAGGCGUUACCAACAGAAUAAGCACCGGCUAACUUCGUGCCAGCAGCCGCGGUAAUAC